GACGAACGCUGGCGGCGUGCUUAACACAUGCAAGUCGAACGGAAAGGCCCUGCUUUUGUGGGGUGCUCGAGUGGCGAACGGGUGAGUAACACGUGAGUAACCUGCCCUUGACUUUGGGAUAACUUCAGGAAACUGGGGCUAAUACCGGAUAGGAGCCCCUGCUGCAUGGUGGGGGUUGGAAAGUUUCGGCGGUUGGGGAUGGACUCGCGGCUUAUCAGCUUGUUGGUGGGGUAGUGGCUUACCAAGGCUUUGACGGGUAGCCGGCCUGAGAGGGUGACCGGCCACAUUGGGACUGAGGUACGGCCCAGACUCCUACGGGAGGCAGCAGUGGGGAAUAUUGCACAAUGGGCGGAAGCCUGAUGCAGCAACGCCGGGUGCGGGAUGACGGCCUUCGGGUUGUAAACCGCUUUCGCCUGUGACGAAGCGUGAGUGACGGUAAUGGGUAAAGAAGCACCGGCUAACUACGUG
This 468-nucleotide ribosomal RNA is filed under the name uncultured bacterium. Its description in RNAcentral is "partial 16S ribosomal RNA". It matches the Rfam family "Bacterial small subunit ribosomal RNA", at positions 28 to 507 of the family's 1533-position model. The record is from RNAcentral.